UACAGAGGUGGCAAGCGUUGUUCGGAAUUACUGGGCGUAAAGGGCGCGUAGGCGGUUCGUUAAGUCCUGUGUGAAAUCCCCCGGCUCAACUGGGGAACUGCACAGGAAACUAGCGGGCUUGAGUUCGGGAGAGGGAAGCGGAAUUCCGGGUGUAGCGGUGAAAUUCGUAGAUAUUCGGAAGAACACCAGUGGCGAAGGCGGCCCGCUGGACAGGUAUUGACGCUGAGGUGCGAAAGCGUGGGGAGCAAACAGG
This 253-nucleotide ribosomal RNA is filed under the name uncultured bacterium. RNAcentral's name for it is "partial 16S ribosomal RNA". It matches the Rfam family "Bacterial small subunit ribosomal RNA", at positions 524 to 776 of the family's 1533-position model. The record is from RNAcentral.